GGGAGACUUGCCUGAUAACAGCU
Molecule: microRNA, 23 nt
Filed under: Gallus gallus (chicken)
Lineage: Eukaryota; Metazoa; Chordata; Aves; Galliformes; Phasianidae
Description: gga-miR-6696-3p
Source: miRBase by way of RNAcentral